AUACUUACCUGGCAGGGGAGAUUCCAUGACCACGAGGGUGGUUUUCCCCGGGCAAGGCUUAUCCAUUGCACUCUGGAUGUGCUGAACCCCUGCGAUUUCCCCAAAUGUGGGAAACUCGACUGCAUAAUUUGUGAUAGUGGGGGACUGCGUUCGCGCUUUCCCCUA
Molecule: small nuclear RNA, 165 nt
Filed under: Saimiri boliviensis boliviensis (Bolivian squirrel monkey)
Lineage: Eukaryota; Metazoa; Chordata; Mammalia; Primates; Cebidae
Description: U1 spliceosomal RNA (ENSSBOG00000018446.1)
Rfam family: U1 spliceosomal RNA
About the family: U1 is a small nuclear RNA (snRNA) component of the spliceosome (involved in pre-mRNA splicing). Its 5' end forms complementary base pairs with the 5' splice junction, thus defining the 5' donor site of an intron.
Source: Rfam by way of RNAcentral